AGAGUUUGAUCCUGGCUCAGAACGAACGCUGGCGGCAGGCCUAACACAUGCAAGUCGAGCGGGCAUCCUUCGGGAUGUUAGCGGCGGACGGGUGAGUAACGCGUGGGAACGUGCCCUUUGCUACGGAAUAGCCUCGGGAAACUGAGAGUAAUACCGUAUGUGCCCUUCGGGGGAAAGAUUUAUCGGCAAAGGAUCGGCCCGCGUUGGAUUAGGUAGUUGGUGGGGUAAUGGCCUACCAAGCCGACGAUCCAUAGCUGGUUUGAGAGGAUGAUCAGCCACACUGGGACUGAGACACGGCCCAGACUCCUACGGGAGGCAGCAGUGGGGAAUCUUAGACAAUGGGGGAAACCCUGAUCUAGCCAUGCCGCGUGAGCGAUGAAGGCCUUAGGGUUGUAAAGCUCUUUCAGUGGGGAAGAUAAUGACGGUACCCACAGAAGAAGCCCCGGCUAACUCCGUGCCAGCAGCCGCGGUAAUACGGAGGGGGCUAGCGUUGUUCGGAAUUACUGGGCGUAAAGCGCACGUAGGCGGAUUGGAAAGUCAGAGGUGAAAUCCCAGGGCUCAACCUUGGAACUGCCUUUGAAACUCCCAGUCUUGAGGUCGAGAGAGGUGAGUGGAAUUCCGAGUGUAGAGGUGAAAUUCGUAGAUAUUCGGAGGAACACCAGUGGCGAAGGCGGCUCACUGGCUCGAUACUGACGCUGAGGUGCGAAAGCGUGGGGAGCAAACAGGGAUUAGAUACCCUGGUAGUCCACGCCCUAAACGAUGAAUGCCAGACGUCGGGCAGCAUGCUGUUCGGUGUCACA
This 800-nucleotide ribosomal RNA is filed under the name uncultured bacterium. RNAcentral describes it as "bacterial SSU rRNA". It matches the Rfam family "Bacterial small subunit ribosomal RNA", at positions 8 to 850 of the family's 1533-position model. The record is from RNAcentral.